This 484-nucleotide ribosomal RNA is filed under the name uncultured bacterium. RNAcentral's name for it is "partial 16S ribosomal RNA". It matches the Rfam family "Bacterial small subunit ribosomal RNA", at positions 30 to 507 of the family's 1533-position model. The record is from RNAcentral.
AUUGAACGCUGGCGGCAGGCCUAACACAUGCAAGUCGAGCGGAUGAAGGGAGCUUGCUCCUGGAUUCAGCGGCGGACGGGUGAGUAAUGCCUAGGAAUCUGCCUGGUAGUGGGGGAUAACGUCCGGAAACGGGCGCUAAUACCGCAUACGUCCUGAGGGAGAAAGUGGGGGAUCUUCGGACCUCACGCUAUCAGAUGAGCCUAGGUCGGAUUAGCUAGUUGGUGGGGUAAAGGCCUACCAUGGCGACGAUCCGUAACUGGUCUGAGAGGAUGAUCAGUCACACUGGAACUGAGACACGGUCCAGACUCCUACGGGAGGCAGCAGUGGGGAAUAUUGGACAAUGGGCGAAAGCCUGAUCCAGCCAUGCCGCGUGUGUGAAGAAGGUCUUCGGAUUGUAAAGCACUUUAAGUUGGGAGGAAGGGCAGUAAGUUAAUACCUUGCUGUUUUGACGUUACCAACAGAAUAAGCACCGGCUAACUUCGUG